CGGACGGGUGAGUAAUGUCUGGGAAACUGCCUGAUGGAGGGGGAUAACUACUGGAAACGGUAGCUAAUACCGCAUAACGUCGCAAGACCAAAGAGGGGGACCUUAGGGCCUCUUGCUAUCGGAUGUGCCCAGAUGGGAUUAGCUAGUAGGUGGGGUAACGGCUCACCUAGGCGACGAUCCCUAGCUGGUCUGAGAGGAUGACCAGCCACACUGGAACUGAGACACGGUCCAG
RNAcentral lists this ribosomal RNA (232 nucleotides) under uncultured bacterium. RNAcentral describes it as "partial 16S ribosomal RNA". It matches the Rfam family "Bacterial small subunit ribosomal RNA", at positions 99 to 334 of the family's 1533-position model. The record is from RNAcentral.